RNAcentral lists this ribosomal RNA (429 nucleotides) under Gemmatimonadota bacterium. Its description in RNAcentral is "Gemmatimonadetes bacterium partial 16S ribosomal RNA". It matches the Rfam family "Bacterial small subunit ribosomal RNA", at positions 355 to 776 of the family's 1533-position model. Lineage: Bacteria; Pseudomonadati; Gemmatimonadota. The record is from RNAcentral.
UAGGGAAUCUUCGGCAAUGGACGAAAGCCUGAUCGAGCAACGCCGCGUGAGUGAAGAAGGUUUUCGGAUCGUAAAACACUGUUGUUAGAGAAGAACAAGGACGUUAGUAACUGUACGUCCCUUGACGGUAUCUAACCAGAGAGCCACGGCUAACUACGUGCCAGCAGCCGCGGUAAUACGUAGGUGGCAAGCGUUGUUCGGAGUUAUUGGGCGUAAAGCGAGCGCAGGCGGUUUCUUAAGUCAGAUGUGAAAGCCCCCGGCUCAACCGGGGAGGGUCAUUGGAAACUGGUUAACUUGAGUGCAGGAGAGGGGAGUGGAAUUCCAGGUGUAGCGGUGAAAUGCGUAGAUAUAUGGAGGAACACCAGUGGCGAAGGCGGCUCUCUGGUCUAUUACUGACGCUGAGGCUCGAAAGCGUGGGGAGCAAACAGG